GAAUUUUUCGCAAUGGGGGAAACCCUGACGAAGCAACGCCGCGUGGAGGAUGAAGGCCUUCGGGUCGUAAACUCCUGUCGACCGGGACGAAAGCAGUCUGACCUAAUACGUCGGGCUGUCGACUGUACCGGUGGAGGAAGCCACGGCUAACUCUGUGCCCGCAGCAGCCGUAAGACAGCGGUGGCAAGCGUUGUUCGGAAUUACUGGGCGUAAAGGGCGCGUAGGCGGCCUUGCAAGUCCCGUGUGAAAUCCCUCGGCUUAACUGAGGAAUGGCACGGGAAACUGCUCGGCUUGAGUUCGGGAGAGGGAAGCGGAAUUCCGGGUGUAGCGGUGAAAUGCGUAGAUAUCCGGAGGAACACCGGUGGCGAAGGCGGCUUCCUGGACCGACACUGACGCUGAGGCGCGAAAGCUAGGGGAGCAAACGGG
RNAcentral lists this ribosomal RNA (426 nucleotides) under uncultured bacterium. RNAcentral's name for it is "bacterial SSU rRNA". It matches the Rfam family "Bacterial small subunit ribosomal RNA", at positions 359 to 776 of the family's 1533-position model. The record is from RNAcentral.